This is a regulatory RNA element of Kerstersia gyiorum, 97 nucleotides long. It matches the Rfam family "traJ-II RNA". The record is from Rfam. Lineage: Bacteria; Pseudomonadati; Pseudomonadota; Betaproteobacteria; Burkholderiales; Alcaligenaceae.
CGGCAAGAUAUGUGUUGCACCGGUACAGGCGAGGCCUGCACCGAUCCAACACCUCCCUGAUUCGCGGGCCGCUCAACAGGUUUUGCUCUGCGAGGCG